UAGCCGACCUGAGAGGGUGAUCGGCCACACUGGAACUGAGACACGGUCCAGACUCCUACGGGAGGCAGCAGUAGGGAAUCUUCCGCAAUGGGCGAAAGCCUGACGGAGCAACGCCGCGUGAGUGAUGAAGGUCUUCGGAUCGUAAAACUCUGUUAUUAGGGAAGAACAUAUGUGUAAGUAACUGUGCACAUCUUGACGGUACCUAAUCAGAAAGCCACGGCUAACUACGUGCCAGCAGCCGCGGUAAUACGUAGGUGGCAAGCGUUAUCCGGAAUUAUUGGGCGUAAAGCGCGCGUAGGCGGUUUUUUAAGUCUGAUGUGAAAGCCCACGGCUCAACCGUGGAGGGUCAUUGGAAACUGGAAAACUUGAGUGCAGAAGAGGAAAGUGGAAUUCCAUGUGUAGCGGUGAAAUGCGCAGAGAUAUGGAGGAACACCAGUGGCGAAGGCGACUUUCUGGUCUGU
This 461-nucleotide ribosomal RNA is filed under the name Staphylococcus aureus. Its description in RNAcentral is "bacterial SSU rRNA". It matches the Rfam family "Bacterial small subunit ribosomal RNA", at positions 284 to 737 of the family's 1533-position model. The record is from RNAcentral. Lineage: Bacteria; Bacillati; Bacillota; Bacilli; Caryophanales; Staphylococcaceae.